UGGGGCGUAGCCAAGGGGUAAGGCAACGGGUUUUGGUCCCGCUAUUCGGAGGUUCGAAUCCUUCCGUCCCAGC
Molecule: transfer RNA, 73 nt
Filed under: Strobilanthes lupulina
Lineage: Eukaryota; Viridiplantae; Streptophyta; Magnoliopsida; Lamiales; Acanthaceae
Also listed under: 2 other names
Description: tRNA-Gln
Rfam family: tRNA
About the family: Transfer RNA (tRNA) molecules are approximately 80 nucleotides in length. Their secondary structure includes four short double-helical elements and three loops (D, anti-codon, and T loops).
Source: RNAcentral